ACAAACUUGGUCAUUUAGAGGAAGUAAAAGUCGUAACAAGGUCUCCGUUGGUGAACCAGCGGAGGGAUCAUUAAAGAGUUGUCCUAACUCCCAAACCCAUGUGAAUAUACCGUACGUUGUCUCGGCAGGUCGCGGGCUCACCUCGUAGGCUUCUCCUCCUACUCGGUGGUUCGCGGAUAAGCCUGCCGGUGGCCCCAACAAACUCUGUUAUUAUAUGAAUUUCUGAAUGUAAUAAACAAAAUAAGUUAAAACUUUCAACAACGGAUCUCUUGGUUCUGGCAUCGAUGAAGAACGCAGC
This 298-nucleotide unclassified non-coding RNA is filed under the name uncultured fungus. RNAcentral's name for it is "partial contains small subunit ribosomal RNA, internal transcribed spacer 1, and 5.8S ribosomal RNA". The stretch from base 1 to 73 matches the Rfam family "Eukaryotic small subunit ribosomal RNA", at positions 1759 to 1831 of the family's 1831-position model. Lineage: Eukaryota; Fungi. The record is from RNAcentral.